Molecule: ribosomal RNA, 506 nt
Filed under: uncultured bacterium
Lineage: Bacteria
Description: bacterial SSU rRNA
Rfam family: Bacterial small subunit ribosomal RNA
Source: RNAcentral
UAUGGCUCAGGAUGAACGCUAGCGGCAGGCUUAACACAUGCAAGUCGAGGGGCAGCGCGGGGUAGCAAUACUCUGGCGGCGACCGGCGAAAGGGUGAGUAACGCGUGAGCAACGUGCCCGUAUGUGGGGGAUAGUCAUUAGAAAUGAUGCGUAAUACCCCGUAACACAUGGAUCCGCAUGGUUCCAUGUUGAAAGAUUUAUUGCAUACGGAUCGGCUCGCGUGCCAUUAGCUGGAUGGCGGGGUAACGGCCCACCAUGGCGACGAUGGCUAGGGGUUCUGAGAGGAAGGUCCCCCACAUUGGAACUGAGACACGGUCCAGACUCCUACGGGAGGCAGCAGUGAGGAAUAUUGGACAAUGGCCGGAAGGCUGAUCCAGCCAUGCCGCGUGCGGGAAGACGGCCCUAUGGGUUGUAAACCGCUUUUGCGGGGGAGCAAUAAGGUGCACGCGUGCACCGAUGAGAGUACCCUGCGAAUAAGCAUCGGCUAACUCCGUGCCAGCCGCCGC